AGGCCUACACAUGCAGUCGAGCGGUAGCACAGAGAGCUUGCUCUCGGGUGACGAGCGGCGGACGGGUGAGUAAUGUCUGGGAAACUGCCUGAUGGAGGGGGAUAACUACUGGAAACGGUAGCUAAUACCGCAUAACGUCGCAAGACCAAAGUGGGGGACCUUCGGGCCUCAUGCCAUCAGAUGUGCCCAGAUGGGAUUAGCUAGUAGGUGGGGUAACGGCUCACCUAGGCGACGAUCCCUAGCUGGUCUGAGAGGAUGACCAGCCACACUGGAACUGAGACACGGUCCAGACUCCUACGGGAGGCAGCAGUGGGGAAUAUUGCACAAUGGGCGCAAGCCUGAUGCAGCCAUGCCGCGUGUGUGAAGAAGGCCUUCGGGUUGUAAAGCACUUUCAGCGGGGAGGAAGGCGUUGAGGUUAAUAACCUUGUCGAUUGACGUUACCCGCAGAAGAAGCACCGGCUAACUCCGUGCCAGCAGCCGCGGUAAUACGGAGGGUGCAAGCGUUAAUCGGAAUUACUGGGCGUAAAGCGCACGCAGGCGGUCUGUCAAGUCGGAUGUGAAAUCCCCGGGCUCAACCUGGGAACUGCAUUCGAAACUGGCAGGCUAGAGUCUUGUAGAGGGGGGUAGAAUUCCAGGUGUAGCGGUGAAAUGCGUAGAGAUCUGGAGGAAUACCGGUGGCGAAGGCGGCCCCCUGGACAAAGACUGACGCUCAGGUGCGAAAGCGUGGGGAGCAAACAGGAUUAGAUACCCUGGUAGUCCACGCCGUAAACGAUGUCGAUUUGGAGGUUGUGCCCUUGAGGCGUGGCUUCCGGAGCUAACGCGUUAAAUCGACCGCCUGGGGAGUACGGCCGCAAGGUUAAAACUCAAAUGAAUUGACGGGGGCCCGCACAAGCGGUGGAGCAUGUGGUUUAAUUCGAUGCAACGCGAAGAACCUUACCUGGUCUUGACAUCCACAGAACUUUCCAGAGAUGGAUUGGUGCCUUCGGGAACUGUGAGACAGGUGCUGCAUGGCUGUCGUCAGCUCGUGUUGUGAAAUGUUGGGUUAAGUCCCGCAACGAGCGCAACCCUUAUCCUUUGUUGCCAGCGGUCAGGCCGGGAACUCAAAGGAGACUGCCAGUGAUAAACUGGAGGAAGGUGGGGAUGACGUCAAGUCAUCAUGGCCCUUACGACCAGGGCUACACACGUGCUACAAUGGCAUAUACAAAGAGAAGCGACCUCGCGAGAGCAAGCGGACCUCAUAAAGUAUGUCGUAGUCCGGAUUGGAGUCUGCAACUCGACUCCAUGAAGUCGGAAUCGCUAGUAAUCGUAGAUCAGAAUGCUACGGUGAAUACGUUCCCGGGCCUUGUACACACCGCCCGUCACACCAUGGGAGUGGGUUGCAAAAGAAGUAGGUAGCUUAACCUCGGAGACGCUACCACUUGG
RNAcentral lists this ribosomal RNA (1422 nucleotides) under Klebsiella pneumoniae subsp. ozaenae. RNAcentral's name for it is "bacterial SSU rRNA". It matches the Rfam family "Bacterial small subunit ribosomal RNA". The record is from RNAcentral. Lineage: Bacteria; Pseudomonadati; Pseudomonadota; Gammaproteobacteria; Enterobacterales; Enterobacteriaceae.